GGGGAAUAUUGGACAAUGGGCGAAAGCCUGAUCCAGGAAUGCCGCGUGAGUGAUGAAGGCCUUAGGGUUGUAAAGCUCUUUUACCCGGGAUGAUAAUGACAGUACCGGGAGAAUAAGCUCCGGCUAACUCCGUGCCAGCAGCCGCGGUAAUACGGAGGGAGCUAGCGUUGUUCGGAAUUACUGGGCGUAAAGCGCACGUAGGCGGCUUUGUAAGUCAGAGGUGAAAGCCUGGAGCUCAACUCCAGAACUGCCUUUGAGACUGCAUCGCUUGAAUCCAGGAGAGGUGAGUGGAAUUCCGAGUGUAGAGGUGAAAUUCGUAGAUAUUCGGAAGAACACCAGUGGCGAAGGCGGCUCACUGGACUGGUAUUGACGCUGAGGUGCGAAAGCGUGGGGAGCAAAC
Molecule: ribosomal RNA, 400 nt
Filed under: uncultured bacterium
Lineage: Bacteria
Description: bacterial SSU rRNA
Rfam family: Bacterial small subunit ribosomal RNA
Source: RNAcentral